Molecule: long non-coding RNA, 6690 nt
Organism: Felis catus (domestic cat)
Lineage: Eukaryota; Metazoa; Chordata; Mammalia; Carnivora; Felidae
Exons: 7
Source: RefSeq, a predicted model, not a curated record
GUAAUUGCUGCAACCAAAACAGAAAAUAGGUAAGCCCUCCUAUUAUUCCAUACCCUUAAAGUGCAUCCUUUUUCUCACCUGGUAUUUCUCAUGCCCAUGAGUGAAGUUCAGGCCUAAGUCUAACUAUAGUCUCUUAGCUGUAAAACCUUUAUUUCCUGAAAUCAGCAUGGGGACAUACCUUCUUCCUUGAAGGCACAUCUGUAGCUUGGACAGCUUGAGAGAAAUCACUCUGUGACUCCCCAUGAGGCAUUAGGCCUGGACUGUAGUUCUGUUGUUCGGGUCGUCAGUCCUGCUCAUUUUCUCUGCCUCUAUCCCUGUCGUACCCCAUGCCCACUCUCCAUCACUGGAUGCGAUGACUACCCCUCAGCGGAUUCAGGCCCAACCUACUUCCUGGCUGAGCUUGACAGAGCCAGAGUCAAUGCUAACUACACCCGAAUGGAGGGAUUGCUCCCCAUGCCAGACCAGUGGCUCAGCCAAAGCUGUUGUUGAGAGCACAGUCCUUCCCCUCUACUCCUUCCAGAUGAAGGGAGUUCAAUCCGUGUAAUUUCUGGCCCUUCUCUGUGCAAUUUGGGAAGAAUGAGCAGUCAUGCUUGGCCCAGUUCUGCCCUCUUCUCUUGGGACCCAGCGCCUGUGAGUGGCAGUGCUCUCUGCUGCUCCCCUGGAGACAGGCUCUCCCCAACAAUGGGGCGGGGGAGGUGUUGUCCUUGCAGCCUUGCCUCUGAUAGUGUGAAUCCACCCCAUUCUGGGUUUGCUUUUUUUUUUUUUAGCAGACUCCAUAUGGCUUUUACUUUAAACUAUGGCUUCCAACAUAGGCUUUAUUAGUAAUAAAGGUGAUAUUCUGGAAUCCUUGCAGGCCAUUUUAUUUUGUGAUUUGUUCAAUUAUAGGCAGGGCAGUGGGGGAGAACCCAGUGCUCGAAGGCCUGGCCCCAGAGUGCGAGGGUCACCACUUUGUCCCAGCUUCGUCCUUCCUCCUGGAGCUGGAGUUGAUCCCUCCAUGCAGUGGCACUGGUCUCUCUGAGGUCUCCUGAAAAUAAGUGCCUGCCUCAGAGCCUUGGCACUUGUUUCCCCUCUGCCAGAACAUCCGUUGGCUCCUGCCCUCACAUCUUCAGGUCUCCCCUCAAAUGUCACCGUUUCAGUGAGGCCAUCCCUUAUGACCCAAUAAACAACCUCCCCAGCACUGCCCGGGCCCCUUGCCUUCUCCACUUUUCUCCACAGUAACGGAAAUGCUCUACAUGCAGCUCUUUGUUUGUUCAUUGUUAUCUCCCUCCACCUCAAGGUCAGCUCCAUGGGGGCAGGUUCUUUGAUUUGUUUCUUGCGACGUGCUUGGGGUCGGGACCAGUGCCUGACAUACAGGAGGAGCUUGAUAAAUACUUGCUGACUGGAAGACCGGUGAGCACAUGGAUGCGUGGGUACCAGGGUUUCUGCUUUGCUCCUUAGCCCUUAGUUCUCUGUAGCACCUGCCUGGUACCCCACCUAGUCUCUUCAGACUGAAGUCUCAGUUGAUGCUUUUGCCAGCUCUUUCUCUUGGUUCUGGAUUUUGAGGCUGAGAAACCAUGAGGAAUGUUUUCUUACCCCAACAACUGGAUCCACGAAGAGCCCACCCCAAACCAUGAUGGUGUGAAUGGAGAUGGGGGAGCAAGAGCAGGCAGAAGGCGGGGCCCAGUUUUUGCUGUGGCCAACUCUGGCAUCAUUCUGGGUCAGUUCUCUUAUGUAAAUCUCAACAGUAGUAUCCCUGACUCUAGCAGAGAGGGCUGAGCAGAGCAGGACACAUGUGUUAGUGGAUUGCAGGGGUUUGAGACUGCCUGGUGUGCUAGGAUGAGGGUGGGCUGUGGAGGCCAGCAGACCAGGAUUUACUGCUCAGCUCUGCCCUUUCCUUACUUUGGACAAUUCACUCCAAGCUCACUUUCUGUAUCUCUAAAGUAAGGAUUUUGAAUUGCAUUAAUAGGUUUGCUUUGAAAAUAGAUUCAGACAUUUACUUUUCAUUCAACAUUACUGAGUUCCUUCUAUGUGCUAGGUACCUUGCUCUGCUCUGAUGAUAUACAAGGAGGAAUAUGAUAUGGUCUCCAACCUCAGGGAGCCACUUCCCAGUCCAGGGAAGCAGACUGUUAGAACACAGAGUGCUGGUGCUGGGAUAGAGGCCCACAAAGAAGAGGGGCAUCUACCCUCCACAGGGGAGAGAGUGGGUUAAGGAGGGUUCCCAAAGGAAACAGCAUGCCAUCUACACUGGAUCUCAUGGAUGAACAGGACCCUGCCAGAUCAGCAAGGUGGGGGGAGAGGGGAGACAAUCUUCACAGGGUCUUUGAACUCACGGAAAUGAUAUGCAAAAUAUUGGGUGGGUGCAGUGUGCUUGGAAGAGGAUUCACCCCUCUUCCAGAUUCACAAAAGGUCAUGAGGCCCCUUCUCAAAGGCUAAGGACCACUCAUAAAAGUGAGAGAAGAGUGUUAAGUAGUAAAACCUUUGGGGGUACCACCUCUUGAAGGACAGGUCAUGAAAGCACCUGCAAAGGAACUGAGGUAUGGUCAGCAAAGUAGAAAAAAUAAAGCCCAGCAGGGGGUGGGAGUGUCCCAGAAGCCACAGGGAGAGCCUCAAGAGGUGUCAGAUACCCCAGAUAGCUCUGUUUCUCUGGGGACCCUGAUUGGUACAGGCUGCAAAGAAGAGGUGGAGAACACCCCACUAGGAAGGAAAAUAGAGGUCUCUGUGAAGCUUGAACACUUAACUGGGGCUUGAGGGAAAUUAAUAGAAAGGAAAGGUAGGCAGUACAGAGGAGACAGUUAAAAAUAGAUUAAGUUCGCUAAGGAGGCAGGAGGGAGGGGAUCUGAGAAUCAAUGGAGGGCACAGCCUUGGGCCUGGAGACAGAGACUCUCCUACAGAGGUAGGAGGGAAGGGAGAAGAAUAGAUGUGUGGGUGGGAAGUAGGAAGCAGAAGGAGUUAUUGUUUGAUGGCUUCUAUCAUCUCUGCAAAAUAGAAAGUGAGGUUAUCUAAUCAGCUAAUAAUUAUUGGGGUCUCUCUGCAUUAUUUCAUUUAGUCCCCACAACCCUGUGAGGUAGGCACCAUUGUCAUCCUCAGAGCAGUCGGGAGACUUGUUUGGGGGCACUGUUUCCAGGUGGCUCUUCUGAGCUCUGAAACCAGUUCCUCUGAUUUCAGGCCAGGUUCAUUAUCUGCCUUCGCUAUCUGCUGCGAAUGUAGGCGGAGGAGGUGGAGGGUGGGUGUUCAGGGAAGAGGUAAUCGUGCAGUAGCUGUUUGGGGAUGGAUGAGAGAGCUAACCGAGGAGAUAGGGGAUUGCCAGAAGGUUUGGAGAGUAAUAUGGAAACCCUGGAUUUACACAUGGUGACAGCUAACACAGUGCCGACCUCAGGGUAAUCACUUAUAAAUGCUUGUUCUUUUUCUCUUUUCUUCCUCCUCCAGGUACUCCCCACGUCUCUGUACUCCAGAAUAAAAUGGGGGUUGGUCCCAGAGGUACUGGAUUCUGGGUAGGAUCCAGGCAAUCUAGGUCCUGGGUCCAAGUGUCUAAAUACCUUACUACACUGCUUUUCAGUGCAUACCAGCUCUAAAAUUAAACAUCUUUAGGCAGACAUUCUCCAUUUAUUUUCUGACUCCAACAUUCCCUAUUAUUUAUAACCCACAUCUCUGCAUGUACAUUCUGUGCCAAUUCCUUGAAGGCACUGGAAUUUGCAUCUUCUGGAUGAAACCAAAUGUUUAGUUUAGACCCCUCUGGAAGAGUGACUGAAUAGAGAUGGGUCUUGCUUUGUGUAAUCCUAAUACUUAAGCAGCUAUUAAGACUAAUUUUUCAUGCAUUGCUCAUUCAAUAAGUCUCAUUAUUGUAUGGCUCCAUCUCAUAUAGGAAGAGCCAAAUGAAGAAGAAUUACAAAAUUAAACAACACAACCUGCACUUUACAUAAAGGCUCACUUCAGGGGACUUUAAAAAGUGAAGAAUUUUCCAAAUUACUUCUAGGCAGCUGAGAAGAAUGGUGGUCAUCUACAUCCAAAAAACGAGGAAAAUGCAGAUUAACAAGAAGAACGAAUAAAACUGUAGAAAGCCCAGGCCUGCAGCAUAACCAAAAGACAGAGAAUGCUAUAAACUUUAAAGUAUGUGUAAGUGGAAAAACAAACAUGCCACCCAGGCAAAAUGUGUCUCAUGCUUCUGUUGCAAGCCUUUGUGGAAAGCAAGACUGUUCGGAAAAGAGAAGAGAGGAGCAGGGAAUGGCCUGAUAUUGAUCUAGAGAAAGUCUAUUGUAAAUGUGAACAAACUGAAAAAGGAUCCUGGUAUGUCAGUGCACUGACUACAGGAAAUGGGCAUAAAAGCCUACAAACUUCCCUAAAUACCAAAAGAAAUGGAGGGGGGGGGGUGGUGAGUAAGGAAAACAUCACAUAGAGAAAGAAAUUCCUGAGUAUAUCUUACCCUCAAUAGUUACAUAAAACCCGACAGAUAUAAGACCAAGCAUGUAAGUCACAGCAAUAUAUGUGAAUGAGUAUAACUAACUUAUUAAAGGAAAUGGUUUUCAAAUGGGCUCACAAGGUAAGGCCCAACUCUCUGCUGUGUACAAGAUUCCGAAAGGCUAAAAUACAGGGAUGGCUCAAAGUGUACCAGGCAAAUGGAAAAAGGAUGAAAGAAGGGCUUGUAAGCCCUAUAUCAGGCCCAGUGCCAGUCGAACUACAAAUUAUUAAAAGUGACAGAAGACAUUUUAAAGGCUAAAAUCACAGUUUGCAAUAGAAAUAAUAGUUCUGAAUGAGCAUGUACCAAAUAACAUAGCAACUACCUUUAUGUAGCAGAAACUACAGGAAAUGCAAGAAAAGAUAGAAGACCACUAAAAAUAGAAAACUUUGAGACACACCUCUUGGAACAAAACAGGUCAAGUGGACAAAAGUCAGUAAGGUACAGACAACAUAAUCAAGGCACACCUUAUGGCUAUAUACAGAGCUUUAUAUCCUAAUUCCCUUUCUUCUUAAAUGCACAUGAAACAUUCAUAACAGUUGAUCAAAUAUUAGGCCAUAAAGAGAGCAUCGAUAAAUUCAAUGAAGUAGAUGUAUUACAUACAGUGCAGUAAUAUUAGAAAUGAAUAACAAAAUAAAAAUAAAAAGUCCCUUCUGCCUGGAAAUUAAAAGAAAACAACUAUUAAACAUUUUUUCAGUGAAAGAAGAAAUUAAUUUAUAACCCAAAUUAUAGAAUUUCUAAACAGCAAUCAAACAUUAAUUAUUAUAACUUAUGGGAUCUGAUUAGAGCAGUUAUUGGAAGAAAUUUUAUAACCUUAAGCACUUACAUCAAUAACAGUAAAAAACGGAAAGAAUGACAAUAAAUGAAUUGGAUUUGCUACUCAAAAGCUAGAAAAUGAACAAACAAGUUAACCAAAGGAAACCACAAGGAGGGUAAUGGUGAAGACAAAAGCAAUAAUUAAUGAUACAGAAAACUGAAAACAAGAGAUGUAAUGAUUGGGUCUUUGAAAAAAAGUAACCAAGUGUGCAAAACCUCCAGCUAACCUAAUCAAGAGGACAAGGGAGAAAGUCCACGUUGAGUCUGAGCCCGUGACUAGGGAGAGUGGAUAACAUACUUACGCACACAGAAAGGGGUCUUGCCCGACCAGUGAUGAUCCUGCUGGCAGAUGCGCACAGACAUGCCGAUCAGGCGGAAGCCGGCAUUGCACUGGUAGCAUUGACUGAACAUCUACUGAAUGGAGGGCACCUGGUCUACAUUAAGGCAGUCAAAGCCCAGCUGAGUUGAGUUGGAAAUGACUAUGCACAAACAGGUGAUUUGGCUAAACCCACCUUUCCUUCUCCUUGAGUGGCAAGAGACACAGACAACUUAACCUAGGCCCUAAUAAAAUUACAGUAAAGACUGGUAAAGCAGAAGAGCCUAUAACAAAAAGCAAAAUGGGAGGAUCAGCAGCAGAGGAGACUUAAAAAAAACUUCGGAAGAUGGAUUGUAGAUAGAAGUGUGCCGAGAAUGAAGUGGAGCUGAGAAGCUGCAGAAAUACUUGGAUCCCCACUGAUAUUCUGCAUGAGGAGUCAGGCAGUCUGGAGACAGCAGGUGAAGGAGGUAGAUGGCGGCUGCUUCUCACGGCUUGCGGUCCUGCUCUUCCCUUGUGGAUAACUAAGACGACAGAGGAUAACUUCCUAGUCUGAGACCUGAUCUCCAUGCCAAAACACGGUCCACAAACUCUGAGGCAGUACAUAAUAUUGAGACUAUGGCAGAAAAGACAACUUUCCCAUGCUGGUGGAAGCGAAGACAAACGUUCUGGAGAGCAGUAAAUGUCAAAAGCUGCAGAUUCUGCACAGGGCUCGAGAUAUUAUGGACCCUCAAUAUAUGUUCGCUGAAAGAAUGAAUUAUCAAUGAGGAAACCCAUAUUUGGAAGUGAUGGGUCCUGGGACAAACCCAAGUGAUGUGAGAAGGAUCGGAGCCACUGGGCACCCCCUUUCCAAGGAUCCAGGAGCAGGCCUAGUUUUCAGAUGGCAGCACAAGAUUCAAGAAGCCUGGAUCAUUGAGUCACCAGCAUUAUAGUCACUGCACUAUAGCAAAUUUUGCCUGAAGGAGAAAUAAACUUUUGUUGUGUUAAGCCACUGAGAUGUGGGGAUUGCUUGUUAAUGUAACAUAUGCCUGACCUAUCCUGACUAAUGCACUGAAGUAUAUCUGUUAAUUAUGCUUUUAGUAAGCUGUAACUUUACAUAGUCCUUGUCUGUCUGAAGAUUUCAUUAAUA